GACGGAGGAUGCAAGUGUUAUCCGGAAUCACUGGGCGUAAAUCGUCUGUAGGUGGUUUAAAAAGUCUACUGUUAAAGCUUGAAGCUUAAACUUCAAAAAUGCCGUAGAAACUUUUAAACUUGAGUAUGGUAGGGGUAGAGGGAAUUUCCAGUGGAGCGGUGAAAUGCGUAGAUCUUGGAAAGACCACCAAUGGCGAAGGCACUCUACUGGGCCAUUACUGACACUAAGAGACGAAAGCUAGGGGAGCAAACAGG
This 254-nucleotide ribosomal RNA is filed under the name uncultured bacterium. RNAcentral describes it as "partial 16S ribosomal RNA". It matches the Rfam family "Bacterial small subunit ribosomal RNA", at positions 524 to 776 of the family's 1533-position model. The record is from RNAcentral.